Molecule: long non-coding RNA, 834 nt
Filed under: Olea europaea (common olive)
Lineage: Eukaryota; Viridiplantae; Streptophyta; Magnoliopsida; Lamiales; Oleaceae
Description: long non-coding RNA (OEUR_LNC004797)
Source: RNAcentral
CAUUCGUUCCAUAUCACUCAUUUAAAUAUGCUUUUCUUUUUCUUUUUUUUCUCUCCCCUUCAAUUUUUUGUUUUUAUUUGAUUUUAUUGUCUUCUCUCUUUUGCUUCUCUCUCAUUUUCUCCAUGAGUCCUCGACUGGGUGAAGUUGCAACAAGGAACCUGUGGCUUGAUAGAAUCCUUCGCGAUGGAAAUGCUCCAUUUGCUAAUAUGGUGACCGAUCAUAGUUCAGUGGAGAUUUUAAGUGGGUCUGAUUCUCAAGGUUAGGAAGAUAUAAGAGGUUUUGCCCUCAAUCAGCUUUUCAAUUAUAAAAUUAAGUAUUUACUUACUUAUUUUAACCCUUAAAAUAAGAGACGUGAGGUACACUUGCUAUUUUAACCCUUAAAUAUGAAUCCAUUCCAGGCAUUUUUGCUGUUUAGUCAAAUAUGUCAGUGGUAUAUCCUUAUGAUAUUUUGAAUUUAUUUUCUACUGGAAAUUAUUAGCAGAACUUUAAAAUGAAACAAUAUAGAAAUGUACAAAAACGACAUGACAACCACUAGAAGAAAUAACUUCAGAAAAUUACAAAAGUAAUUGUAAUUUUUUAGUCGAUAGUCAACUAGAAAUAUUCUCAAUUUAAGAAUAACCGUCGUGUUCCCAAAUUCAACUUGAUUUAGGGUCCUCAACAUAUUUUUUGUAUUUAUAAUAAAACACACUAUAAUCAAUGAAUUACUCAGGUAAAUCACGGCAAAAAGAACUUCAAAGUACGGCUACAAAAAAUGAUACCAGCGGCCAUGGACGAACAAGAGAUGAAUAGCUUCAAGAAAAAUGCUUUUCCCAGACUCUGAGUGGCUUCUAUCUG